CUACAUUUUAAAACAUUUUAUUGGGAUAAAAUAUACCGCUUAACAUUUACCAUUUUAACCAUGUUUUAAGUGCAUAGUUCAGUGAGUGGCAUUAAGUAUAUUCACAUUUUUGUGCAGCCAUCCUUAUCAUCCGCCUCCAGAUUUCUCACGUUUUCAAACUGAAACUCUGUACCAUUAAACACUGACUCCCCGUCCUCUCUCCCUAGCUCCCGGCAACAUUCUACUCCCUGUGUCUAUGAACUUGACUCUUCUAGGAACCUUGCAUCAGGGGAAUCACGCAAUAUUUGUCUUUUUGUGCCUAGCUUAUUUCACUUAGCAUCAUGUCCUCAAGGUUUGUCCGUGUUGUAGCGUGUGUCAGAAAUCCUUUGCUUUUUAAGGCUGAACAACAUUCCAUUGAGUGUACGGACCACACGUUACCUGUCCGUUCUUCUGUUGAUGAAUCUUUUGGCUACUGUGAUAACGCCACUGUGAACAGGGGUGGACAGUUCUCCUCGGCUUGGAGCUGCUGUGGUCUAAUGUGGGGGGCGACAGGUAGAUUCACCAGCAAGUUACCCUGGAUGAGCCCCCAUUUUGUCAUCUGUGAAAUGGGGAUACUGUUACCCACUGUAAGGGUUCAAUGAGAUGAUGCACCAUUUGGGGCAGUGCCGACACGUUGUAAACACUUGAUAAAUGUGAGCUUUUACUGCAGCUGCUGCCGCCGUGGGGCAAGAUGUGUCUAGAGAAGAGGGGGCCUGAAAGCGGGGGGUCAGCUUGCGCCCUCCCACAAAGGUCACGUCAGCCCACCCUCAUGAACAUCCUGGCGAGUGGUCCCGAAGAUCUCAAUUUUCCAGGUCCCAAAGAGGUCCAGUGCCAGAGGCUGGGGACCCAGAGGUGAAUUAGAUGUGGUCUCCACCUCCAAAGGGGUCUGAGCCCAAGGAUCAAGCAUGGCUUCAAAAAGCAGGUGAGAUCUGAGCUGACUUCGGAAGAGGAGGAGCCAGACCUAUCUUCAUAGGAGCGUGACCUGUGCUGUCACACCAGGCCCUGUGCUCAGAAGGCCCCCGUGCUUCGUUUAAUGUUCUCCUUUGCCAUCUUGGAGUUCUGAAUUUUUGAACAAAGGACCCCAUAGUUCCAUCGUCCACUGGGCCCGACAAAUUAUGUAGCAGUGCUGUGAAUAGGAGACCAUCAGGCAGAGAAGAGGGGGUAUCUUUGAAGCAAAAGGGCUCUGAGUGUGCAAAGGCAUGCUGAAACUUGAGGCUUAGCUCAUCCUGGAAACACUGCCAGGCACGCUGUUUCUAGUCGGAGAGCUGUGCAUCCCAGGAAAGCGGGAGAAGCUCCAAGUGGAAAACAGUGAAAGGCUUCAAACGCAAGGUUAGGAGGUUUGGAUGUUGUAUGAGGUGUCCGUGGGGAGCCUUCCAAACUGUGAAUUGGGAACGUGAUAGCUCACGGAUGGCACUGUGGCACUGUGGAGGCGAACGGUGCAGACGGUGUUAUGAUGUGUACUUUACAGAUGGGGAAACUGAGACCCCAAGAGGUGAUGUGAGCAGGGCUGCAAGAGAACUUUUGUGGGCUCUAGGCACUUUUAGCUUCAUGGACCCCUUUCUUCAGAAAUCUGCAUAUAUGUGUACAUAUACGUGUAUGUACACAUACAUACUCAUGCACAUAUGCAUGUACAUAUGUGUAUGUAUAAUUAUAUUUUACACCUGCAUUGGUAUAAAGGCAAAUACAUUAAUAUUAUAUACUAAAACACUUUCUUUGACUUAAAGUACGGUGGGCCCGAGGUUCUGUGCCUGCUGCACUUAA
Long non-coding RNA from Aethalodelphis obliquidens (Pacific white-sided dolphin), 1779 nucleotides. RefSeq lists it as uncharacterized. NCBI's taxonomy places the organism in Eukaryota, Metazoa, Chordata, Mammalia, Artiodactyla, Delphinidae. The record is from RefSeq and is a predicted model, not a curated record. The transcript is spliced from 3 exons.